UCGGGAAUUUUGGGCAAUGGGGGAAACCCUGACCCAGCAACGCCGCGUGAGUGAAGAAGGCCUUCGGGUUGUAAAGCUCUUUUGUCAGGGAAGAAACGGUAGUAGCGAAUAACUAUUACUAAUGACGGUACCUGAAGAAUAAGCACCGGCUAACUACGUGCCAGCAGCCGCGGUAAUACGUAGGGUGCAAGCGUUAAUCGGAAUUACUGGGCGUAAAGCGUGCGCAGGCGGUUGUGUAAGUCAGAUGUGAAAUCCCCGGGCUCAACCUGGGAAUUGCAUUUGAGACUGCACGGCUAGAGUGUGUCAGAGGGGGGUAGAAUUCCACGUGUAGCAGUGAAAUGCGUAGAUAUGUGGAGGAAUACCGAUGGCGAAGGCAGCCCCCUGGGAUAACACUGACGCUCAUGCACGAAAGCGUGGGGAGCAAACAGGAUUAGAUACCCAAGUAGUCCCUGAGCGGGCUGGCAAGGCGCAU
This 472-nucleotide ribosomal RNA is filed under the name uncultured bacterium. RNAcentral's name for it is "bacterial SSU rRNA". It matches the Rfam family "Bacterial small subunit ribosomal RNA", at positions 355 to 825 of the family's 1533-position model. The record is from RNAcentral.